Molecule: small RNA, 101 nt
Organism: Pseudoalteromonas ruthenica
Lineage: Bacteria; Pseudomonadati; Pseudomonadota; Gammaproteobacteria; Alteromonadales; Pseudoalteromonadaceae
Source: Rfam
UCUCCCGUAUGAAUGUGUAAAGUUUAUUAGUUAGCGCACGGCUCAUCAUGAGCCAUUCCCCUGGGCCCAGGACAAUGCGGAUUCGUCCUGGGCAUUUUUUC